Molecule: ribosomal RNA, 420 nt
Filed under: uncultured microorganism
Description: bacterial SSU rRNA
Rfam family: Bacterial small subunit ribosomal RNA
Source: RNAcentral
GAGUUUGAUCGUGGCUCAGAUUGAACGCUGGCGGCAUGCCUUACACAUGCAAGUCGAGCGGCAGCAUGAUCUAGCUUGCUAGAUUGAUGGCGAGUGGCGAACGGGUGAGGUAAUACAUCGGGACGUGCCCUGUAGUGGGGGAUAACUAGUCGAAAGAUUAGCUAAUACCGCAUACGACCUGAGGGUGAAAGUGGGGACCGCAAGGCCUCAUGCUAUAGGAGCGGCCGAUGUCUGAUUAGCUAGUUGGUGGGGUAAAGGCCCACCAAGGCGACGAUCAGUAGCUGGUCUGAGAGGACGAUCAGCCACACUGGGACUGAGACACGGCCCAGACUCCUACGGGAGGCAGCAGUGGGGAAUUUUGGACAAUGGGCGAAAGCCUGAUCCAGCAAUGCCGCGUGUGUGAAGAAGGCCUGGUUGUAA